GACGAACGCUGGCGGCGUGCCUCAAACAUGCAAGUCGAGCGGGGAACUUUUAAAGCGCAAGCUUUUAUAAGUUCCUAGCGGCGAACGGGUGAGUAACACGUGGGCAACCUACCCAGAAGACCGGGAUAACGGCUCGAAAGGGCCGCUAAUACCGGAUAAUGUCGGGGUACCGCAUGGUACUCCGAAGAAAGGGGAAACCCGCUUUUGGAUGGGCCCGCGUCCCAUCAGCUAGUUGGUGAGGUAACGGCUCACCAAGGCGACGACGGGUAGCCGGUCUGAGAGGAUGGUCGGCCACACUGGGACUGAGACACGGCCCAGACUCCUACGGGAGGCAGCAGUUGGGAAUCUUGGGCAAUGGGCGAAAGCCUGACCCAGCGACGCCGCGUGAGGGAAGAAGGCCUUCGGGUCGUAAACCUCUGUCAUGGGGGAAGAAGCAAGUGACGGUACCCAAGAGGAAGCCCCUGCUAACUACGUG
This 475-nucleotide ribosomal RNA is filed under the name uncultured bacterium. RNAcentral's name for it is "bacterial SSU rRNA". It matches the Rfam family "Bacterial small subunit ribosomal RNA", at positions 28 to 507 of the family's 1533-position model. The record is from RNAcentral.